UCCUGUGUUAUGCAAACACCUAAUAACUUUCUACAAUAAAAUACCAUUGUAUUAAAUUCCUGAACAUAUUAACAAUUUCCUCUUUGGUUUCUAACAUCUGUCAUUUUCACUUAGAUUUUGUCACUUGGCAAUAAAAUACUCAGACAGUUCCAGAGCCUUAUGUUGGUUGGACACUUUAUCAAGAAGCACAACACAUGCACAUGUGCACCAUCUGGGCAUAUUUAUGGGAGGAAUAACUGUCUUGUUCCUGGUUCUUUUCCUGUUUGCCGUUGACUUAACAGGGUCAUCUUUCAAGAUCUGCUCACUCUGUCCUCUCAAUGGCGUUCAGACGAGUAUCUGUGCGAGUGUCAGGUCGUGUAUACCUCAGCUGCUCUGUGGGCAAGACAAGCAGAUCCCUGUUGACACUUGCUGAAGUCAAUGGAUUCAAGCUGACAGUCUAAUGUGCUGGAUUAAUGUGUGCACUAGGAUUAAAGUAUGGAGAGAUGGAUGGAUGCAUGAUGCUAGGGGUGUAUAAGUAUAAAGAUUUUGUCUCCAGUUCCCCAUCUUCCUUCAUGCGUCUUGCAUGAAUUGUAGAAUCCUUUAUAAAUUUCUUAAGAUGGGCUUGUAUGGUAGACCAUGCUACAUAAAAUACACUGUAAAAAGUGGUUUUCUUACCUAGUGUUUUUGUCUUAUGAAUAUAUUAAAAAAAUACUCAAGAAGUCUUGUUUUCUGAAAAAAGAAUUUAAAUUAAUUAAUCAAAAACAAGAAAAAAAUAUAUCAGUCAGUUAAGAAAAAAAAAAUAAUUAAUUUAAAUCCCUUUAAAUAAGUAGUGAGUAAGAGUAGUGAGUGUAUUUACAGUAUCUCUAUUUCUUUAGCUUAAUAAUUUUUAGUUAUUUGAUGGUAUAGUAUUUUUAUAGGAUUUAUACACUUAAGAUACAUAUAGGAAAAGGAUUGUUUAAAAAACAAAAACAAAAAAUGUUUAAAAUAUCUACAAAAAACAUUUACAUUCUUCUUUAAAAAAACAGGGUUCAAAUUACAGAUUUGGAUUUUGAACAUUUAGAACAUUUAGAUGAAACAUAUAGAGAGUGGAUUUCUUGUUUGUCAUCCAACAGCUACAGAUUUCUUAAGAGGAUUUGUCAGGAGCACAGCUUUACUGCCGGUCAAGGUUUUCCUCAGCGGUGACGUCUGACCCAAAUGUUCAACGAUGCAACAAUUUGCGAAGGUGGCAGAAUCAUGUCUUUGAUUUCACUCUCCCCUGCAGUCUAUGGGAGCUUCAUAUUUGGUCUCAGGUCAGUAAGUGGAUGGGAACAAGUCUCCCCUUGUGCCUGGCUGCAGCUUUGAACAGUCUCAGACUCCUACAGACAGUGCCAGAGCAAAGGAGGUGCCAGUCACCCUGACCCGUCUGGCUGAUGAAAGCGAUGAUCACAUGCCAAGCGGGACUUCCAAACAUCAUAUUAAUGGAAAACGUUGGCUCCUAAUAGCUGUAGCACAGUCCUGAAAAGCAGGCACUUAGAAACACCAUAAACUAGAGCUACAAAAUGCAACAUAAAAAAGGAUUUAUGAGAGUGAACAAAUGUUUACAAGCCCUUUGAGUUAUUAUGAAUAUUUAUAUGAAAUUAAAAACUAAAUAAAUAUGUAGUAAGCUUAAAAUUAUGAUGUGAU
Long non-coding RNA from Cyprinus carpio (common carp), 1641 nucleotides. NCBI's taxonomy places the organism in Eukaryota, Metazoa, Chordata, Actinopteri, Cypriniformes, Cyprinidae. The record is from Ensembl.